GGGAAACCGAGUCUUAACCGGGCGUUAAGUUGCAGGGUAUAGACCCGAAACCCGGUGAUCUAGCCAUGGGCAGGUUGAAGGUUGGGUAACACUAACUGGAGGACCGAACCGACUAAUGUUGAAAAAUUAGCGGAUGACCUGUGGCUGGGGGUGAAAGGCCAAUCAAACCGGGAGAUAGCUGGUUCUCCCCGAAAGCUAUUUAGGUAGCGCCUCGUGAAUUCAUCUCCGGGGGUAGAGCACUGUUUCGGCUAGGGGGCCAUCCCGGCUUACCAACCCGAUGCAAACUGCGAAUACCGGAGAAUGUUAUCACGGGAGACACACGGCGGGUGCUAACGUCCGUCGUGAAGAGGGAAACAACCCAGACCGCCAGCUAAGGUCCCAAAGUCAUGGUUAAGUGGGAAACGAUGUGGGAAGGCCCAGACAGCCAGGAUGUUGGCUUAGAAGCAGCCAUCAUUUAAAGAAAGCGUAAUAGCUCACUGGUCGAGUCGGCCUGCGCGGAAGAUGUAACGGGGCUAAACCAUGCACCGAAGCUGCGGCAGCGACGCUGAUGCGUUGUUGGGUAGGGGAGCGUUCUGUAAGCCUGCGAAGGUGUGUCGUGAGGCAUGCUGGAGGUAUCAGAAGUGCGAAUGCUGACAUAAGUAACGAUAAAGCGGGUGAAAAGCCCGCUCGCCGGAAGACCAAGGGUUCCUGUCCAACGUUAAUCGGGGCAGGGUGAGUCGACCCCUAAGGCGAGGCCGAAAGGCGUAGUCGAUGGGAAACGGGUUAAUAUUCCCGUACUUGGUGUUACUGCGAAGGGGGGACGGAGAAGGCUAUGUUGGCCGGGCGACGGUUGUCCCGGUUUAAGCGUGUAGGUGUGUGUUCCAGGUAAAUCCGGUUCACUUUAACACUGAGGCGUGAUGACGAGGCACUACGGUGCUGAAGCAACAAAUGCCCUGCUUCCAGGAAAAGCCUCUAAGCAUCAGGUAACAUCAAAUCGUACCCCAAACCGACACAGGUGGUCAGGUAGAGAAUACCAAGGCGCUUGAGAGAACUCGGGUGAAGGAACUAGGCAAAAUGGUGCCGUAACUUCGGGAGAAGGCACGCUGACACGUAGGUGAAGUGAUUUACUCAUGGAGCUGAAGUCAGUCGAAGAUACCAGCUGGCUGCAACUGUUUAUUAAAAACACAGCACUGUGCAAACACGAAAGUGGACGUAUACGGUGUGACGCCUGCCCGGUGCCGGAAGGUUAAUUGAUGGGGUCAGCGCAAGCGAAGCUCCUGAUCGAAGCCCCGGUAAACGGCGGCCGUAACUAUAACGGUCCUAAGGUAGCGAAAUUCCUUGUCGGGUAAGUUCCGACCUGCACGAAUGGCGUAAUGAUGGCCAGGCUGUCUCCACCCGAGACUCAGUGAAAUUGAACUCGCUGUGAAGAUGCAGUGUACCCGCGGCAAGACGGAAAGACCCCGUGAACCUUUACUAUAGCUUGACACUGAACAUUGAGCCUUGAUGUGUAGGAUAGGUGGGAGGCUUUGAAGUGUGGACGCCAGUCUGCAUGGAGCCGGCCUUGAAAUACCACCCUUUAAUGUUUGAUGUUCUAACGUGGACCCGUGAUCCGGGUUGCGGACAGUGUCUGGUGGGUAGUUUGACUGGGGCGGUCUCCUCCUAAAGAGUAACGGAGGAGCACGAAGGUUGGCUAAUCCUGGUCGGACAUCAGGAGGUUAGUGCAAUGGCAUAAGCCAGCUUGACUGCGAGCGUGACGGCGCGAGCAGGUGCGAAAGCAGGUCAUAGUGAUCCGGUGGUUCUGAAUGGAAGGGCCAUCGCUCAACGGAUAAAAGGUACUCCGGGGAUAACAGGCUGAUACCGCCCAAGAGUUCAUAUCGACGGCGGUGUUUGGCACCUCGAUGUCGGCUCAUCACAUCCUGGGGCUGAAGUAGGUCCCAAGGGUAUGGCUGUUCGCCAUUUAAAGUGGUACGCGAGCUGGGUUUAGAACGUCGUGAGACAGUUCGGUCCCUAUCUGCCGUGGGCGCUGGAGAACUGAGGGGGGCUGCUCCUAGUACGAGAGGACCGGAGUGGACGCAUCACUGGUGUUCGGGUUGUCAUGCCAAUGGCACUGCCCGGUAGCUAAAUGCGGAAGAGAUAAGUGCUGAAAGCAUCUAAGCACGAAACUUGCCCCGAGAUGAGUUCUCCCUGAGACUUAGAGUCUCCUGAAGGAACGUUGAAGACGACGACGUUGAUAGGCCGGGUGUGUAAGCGCAGCGAUGCGUUGAGCUAACCGGUACUAAUGAACCGUGAGGCUUAACCUUACAACGCCGAAG
Molecule: ribosomal RNA, 2291 nt
Filed under: Salmonella enterica subsp. enterica serovar Johannesburg
Lineage: Bacteria; Pseudomonadati; Pseudomonadota; Gammaproteobacteria; Enterobacterales; Enterobacteriaceae
Description: partial 23S ribosomal RNA
Rfam family: Bacterial large subunit ribosomal RNA
Source: RNAcentral